UUUCGCAUGACCACACUGCACUAAGCGCGUCUGGCCCAGCCGCCGAGCUCGCUCCUGAGGACUGUCAACGCCACCCGUCCAGACAUCUUCAAAAAAAAUCUGAAGGGGGGUUAACAGAGCCCCACGACGCACAUCACCGAUAAACAAAACACACACUCGCGCAUGGCACGCACGAGCCUUGCCACGCUCUCACCAAGUAUCCCAUCCCAUUUCCACUGACUCCGACUCGAGUUGCACCAACCACCAACAGGACACUGCAGGACAGACGCGCACUGGUCAGGUCAAUUUGUCUUGUUGUUGGUGUCACCAAACCGUCAGUCACAAUCAUAUGCUCACUGCGGGAUGAGACGCAAGGCUAUGCACGCACGUGGGCGCACUUAGUACUGGACGACCCCACAGCCAAGCACGCGCACAGGCACACACGCGUUAGACAAACUCCUAGCUGCGCAGCGUGUACGCGUGCGGUCAUAGAAAAUAUUAAUUCAGCGACACAUCAAUGGAAGAGGUCUUUGCCAGUUGCUGACGGUGUCGCGGGGGGCACACGCUUGCCUCAGCACGGUGGCGCACAUGAGCGCUGCCGUGGAAAGCGUUUGGAGUUUGGAGGGCCCUCCGCAAGGGAGGAUCCUCCGCAAGGCCAGCGUAAUAACCCCCACACGUUCAGCGACUUGAAAAUUGCAGCAUUCUACGCCAACUGAUGCGCACACAUGAGUGAGUCAAACACUGCUCCUUCCGUGUUUGUGCAAUACAAUGUGGGGCAGACACGCACACCACACAGUACCGCACUUCAACGGAAGUAUAUACAAUUCACCCUGUGGUGAGGACACACGCCAGAUCAUGCAAACAUAGCAAACCCGAAACGCCACGCCUACAGGCACGUGUGACAUCAGCUCGCGCAAGCCUUUGUUGCAGGCCCCGCCUGAGUACAUGCCAGUUGCGCCUCAUGCAUACGCAGCGCUGCAUUCUGCAGCUUCUACCUACUUAGUCGCGCAGAUUUCUCGCAUUGGUGAUGUUGGGGACGGACCGCAGCGUUGCAGUUGUCAGUCUUGCCGGUAGCUGCGCCACCGAUGAGGGGGGCAGCAGCCUGCCCGAGCUUGCUGACCGAGUCCGUCGCCCCAGCCACCGGGCGCUGAGCUGAAGGCCAGGAAGAAGAAGCUUAAGCUGUUGUUGGUCAUUGUUGCGAACUUGAUCGCCCUUGGGCGCCAAGCCCGCAGCCCGCGAAGUCGGAGCAUCAUCGGGCACAGCUUGUUGGUCAUCAGAAACCAGCGCGUGAGAGGUUGCGAGAUUGACUAUGCGCAUUCAGACUAUAGUUGUUGCCCGGCCGCAGCCGCAGCGCUGCGGCCGGCUGAGAGGAAGUCCGUAGGAUUCCCUCGAUGCUCGCCUCGUUCUCGAGUUUAGGCCUUGACGAGCGCCCGGCCCAUGAGCAGGCUCGUGGGCAUGGGAACAACGUCGGGGCUCGGGCUGAGGGAGGGCAAGAGGCAGAAAGCAGAAGCGCAGUCAGAAAAACUCAGCUUCCGUCGAACCCGCGGCAGAAACGUGACGGGGCAGCAGCGCAAAGCGGUGCACAAUCACACUUCCCUUCAUGCCUAACACCAAUGCGCACCUUGCGAAGAAGCCAGGGCAUGCGCGGGGAGCGGCCGAGCGCAUGCAGGGAACAUUCCGCAGCACCUUGGCCAGGUCGUCGUCCAGGGACUGGAACUUGGCCUGGUUCGCAGAAGGCUUCGCCAUGACCGCGCGACCGUCGAGAGAACCGCGCGAGGGAGACGAGCAGGAGUUGGGCGAAGCCGUCGCCUUCACGCGCUGGCCCGAGGCCGCCUUCUGCUGCUUGGGCGGCGAGGUCCGCGGCGAGCGCUUGGGAGGCGAGGGUCGGUUGGCCUUGGGCGCCAGCGGCAGCGGGGGCGCAUCCGCGAAAUCAAAGGGUGUCAGCUCGCGGACCUUCAUCGGCUCGGCCAUGGCCGGGCGCGCCUGAGACACCGCAAUAAGGCGGUCCACCAGCUCCGACGAAUCGCCC
Molecule: long non-coding RNA, 2008 nt
Filed under: Chlamydomonas reinhardtii
Lineage: Eukaryota; Viridiplantae; Chlorophyta; Chlorophyceae; Chlamydomonadales; Chlamydomonadaceae
Description: long non-coding RNA (CREI_LNC001050)
Source: RNAcentral